This 714-nucleotide ribosomal RNA is filed under the name Triticum aestivum (bread wheat). Its description in RNAcentral is "partial small subunit ribosomal RNA". Lineage: Eukaryota; Viridiplantae; Streptophyta; Magnoliopsida; Poales; Poaceae. The record is from RNAcentral.
AUGGGUACUCCUAGUCCUACCCCGUACCACCUCCAGUCUCCAAGGACCAUCGUCACCAAGAUCAUCAGCAUGAAGCAGCAGCAGCAGGAGCCGGCGACGCCGGAUCCGCCGCCGCCGUCCAAGAUCAUUCUGCAGCCGAGGCGCCGGACCACCCCGGCGAUGUGGUGCGCCGCCAUCGCUGGUUUCGCCUUCAGCGUCCUCCUCAUCCUCGCCGGCCUCGUCAUCCUCAUCGUCUAUCUCUCGGUGAAGCCGAGGACGCCGUCCUUCGACAUCGCCAACGCCGUCCUCAACACCGUCUACGUCGGCUCGCCGUCGUCCUACUUCAACGGCGACAUGACGCUGGUGGCCAACAUCUCCAACCCCAACCAAAAGAUGGGCGUCGUCAUCCAGUCCGGCACCGUCGAGCUCUUCUUCCGGGGCAGGCUGGUGUCGGUGCAGGCGCUGCCUCCGUUCGCGCAGCCGCGGGGCCACUUCACCGUCCUCAACGUCCACAUGCUGUCCAGCCAGGUGGUGCUGCCGCCGGAGGUGGCUGCGGACCUGCUCAACCAGAUGAGGAGCAACAAGAUCCUCUACACCAUCAGAGGGACCUUCAAGGUCCGGGAAAGGUUCUGGUCAUGGCACUACACCUACCGGUUGACCGCCAUUUGUGACCUCGAGCUCACCUCGCCACCCUCUGGAGUUCUUCUUGAUAGGAGAUGCACAACAUCAAAGUGA